This 402-nucleotide ribosomal RNA is filed under the name uncultured bacterium. Its description in RNAcentral is "bacterial SSU rRNA". It matches the Rfam family "Bacterial small subunit ribosomal RNA", at positions 29 to 416 of the family's 1533-position model. The record is from RNAcentral.
AAUCAACGCUGGCGGCGUGCCUAACACAUGCAAGUCGAACGCGAAAGCCCCGCAAGGGGUUAGUAGAGUGGCAAACGGGUGAGUAACACGUGGGUGACCUGCCCUCGAGUGGGGGAUAACGUCCCGAAAGGGACGCUAAUACCGCAUAAUAUGCCGCCUUUUAAGAGGUGGACAUCAAAGCUGGGGAUCGCAAGACCUAGCGCUUGAAGAGGGGCCCGCGCCUGAUUAGCUAGUGGUGGGGUAAUGGCUCACCAAGGCAACGAUCAGUAUCCGGCCUGAGAGGGCGGACGGACACACUGGGACUGGGGACACGGGCCCAGACUCCUACGGGAGGCAGCAGUGGGGAAUUGUUCGCAAUGGGCGCAAGCCUGACGACGCAACGCCGCGUGGAGGAUGAAGACC